GUUAAUCAUGUGUUGCUGCCUGCAAUCCUACACUUUUAUGUUAAGCUGCUUUGAAUCCCGUUUGGGGGAGAUAAAGCAGGGUAUAAAUAAAUAUGAUGAUUAUGAUAAUAUACUUAUUCACCUUUAGUACCAUUUAAGACGGUGGAAAUGACUUCCAAACAGACAUGGAUAAUAUUGCACUGGUAAGUGCAUCUCAUUGGAACUGAAUUAAUGCAGCUUAAUUUUCUCUGUAGUUUUAUACAUACUUAUGUGAAUGUAUUCUUAUUUGUUUACUGUGUGAAUUUGGGCUUGGUCCCAUGUUAGCCACCCCUGCGGGGAGAUAGAGAUACAAAAGUAAAGUUAUUAUUAUUAUUAUUAUUAUUAUUAUUAUUAUUAACUCAGAAUAAAUUCCAUUGAAUUUAAUAGAUUAUGUAGAAUAGAACUCAAUUGUAAGCAGUUGUCUACCGGAUUGCAUCGUCGACUGGAAUUUUGUAACAUCUUUCAGCCAUUCCUCUUGGUGGUCAUUAAGUAAACAUAUUAAACACAGAGAAAUAGUUAAUUAAGCACAAUUAAACUCUUGUUUAAAAUCUGUGUGUUGUUAAAAGAUACAUAGGCUAAGCUUCUCCGUGUUUGGCUGGGUGUUACUUUAAUGCAGCCUGGGAUGUUAAGUACACUGGCUCCAACUCUGAAAUAGACAAAAUAAGAAAACACAUUUCCAUUUAGUGACUGACCUCAAUCUCUGAAUGAGGACCCCUGCAUGUUACAUUAGCAAGCUGGGCUCCAUUACACCACCGCACACUCUGCUCAGUCUACUGAAGUAUUGAUUUUUUUUGGACUGCGCGCACACUGUGUAAAAUCAAUAUCCAGUACACAUAGCAGAGUGGUUACAGUAUAAAGGCCAACUCACUAGCAUUGCAUAUGGGUCCAUGCCCAAAUGUUGUACUAGUCAAGGAAAGAUCAAAAAGGUAAAAAUAUGCAAAGGAAAGAUCAAACCUGAAAGGCAAAGCAGUAAAAAAAAAAAAGAGAAAGCGAGAAAAUACAGAUGAAAAGAAGUAUAUGGAGAAAGAAAAACAAGCCGAAGGGAGUCCAUAUGAAGACAAAGGGAUGGAAGAACAGGGGGGAAAGAGGGUCUUGGAACCAAAUUGCACAGAUAACCAAGUGUCCACUGUAUUUGAAUUUGGAGAAUUACCGUGACAAGAGAAAAACUUGAUUUAAAUUCCAUCACUGACUUGAAAUUAUUUUGGUGAUGGAGAACAUGGCCAGUAACAUCACUGAUAAAGAAGGAGAAGGCUAAAUAGAUGAAUCCCCUUAUGAUAAGAUCAUUUUAUGCAUCAGCAUAUACAUACUCCUGAUCUAUAUUGAAAAUGAGAAUUCAGCUGAUCGUUUCACCAUGGGAUAAAAGCAGAUUAUAAAUAAAGAUGAUGAUGAUGAUUAA
Anolis carolinensis (green anole) is the source of this 1414-nucleotide long non-coding RNA. RefSeq lists it as uncharacterized. The record is from RefSeq and is a predicted model, not a curated record. The transcript has 2 exons. Lineage: Eukaryota; Metazoa; Chordata; Lepidosauria; Squamata; Anolidae.